AGUGAACGCUGGCGGUAGGCCUAACACAUGCAAGUCGAACGGCAGCACAGUAAGAGCUUGCUCUUACGGGUGGCGAGUGGCGGACGGGUGAGGAAUACAUCGGAAUCUACUUUUUCGUGGGGGAUAACGUAGGGAAACUUACGCUAAUACCGCAUACGACCUACGGGUGAAAGCAGGGGAUCUUCGGACCUUGCGCGAUUGAAUGAGCCGAUGUCGGAUUAGCUAGUUGGCGGGGUAAAGGCCCACCAAGGCGACGAUCCGUAGCUGGUCUGAGAGGAUGAUCAGCCACACUGGAACUGAGACACGGUCCAGACUCCUACGGGAGGCAGCAGUGGGGAAUAUUGGACAAUGGGCGCAAGCCUGAUCCAGCCAUACCGCGUGGGUGAAGAAGGCCUUCGGGUUGUAAAGCCCUUUUGUUGGGAAAGAAAAGCAGCAGGUUAAUACCCCGCUGUUCUGACGGUACCCAAGGAAUAAGCACCGGCGAACUUCGU
Molecule: ribosomal RNA, 491 nt
Filed under: uncultured bacterium
Lineage: Bacteria
Description: partial 16S ribosomal RNA
Rfam family: Bacterial small subunit ribosomal RNA
Source: RNAcentral